Molecule: ribosomal RNA, 233 nt
Filed under: uncultured bacterium
Lineage: Bacteria
Description: partial 16S ribosomal RNA
Rfam family: Bacterial small subunit ribosomal RNA
Source: RNAcentral
ACGUGAGGCUAAUCCCUAAAUCCUCUCUCAGUUCGGAUUGGAGUCUGCAACCCGACUCCAUGAAGCUGGAUUCGCUAGUAAUCGCGCAUCAGCCACGGCGCGGUGAAUACGUUCCCGGGCCUUGUACACACCGCCCGUCAAGCCAUGAAAGCCGGGGGGUACCUGAAGUGCGUAACCGCGAGGAGCGCCCUAGGGUAAAACUGGUGAUUGGGGCUAAGUCGUAACAAGGUAGC